UACAGAGGUCUCAAGCGUUGUUCGGAAUUACUGGGCGUAAAGGGCGCGUAGGCGGCAAUUCAAGUCAUCUGUGAAAUCUCCGGGCUUAACCCGGAACGGUCAGGUGAUACUGUUUUGCUAGAGUGCGGAAGGGGCAAUCGGAAUUCUCGGUGUAGCGGUGAAAUGCGUAGAUAUCGAGAGGAACACCAGAGGUGAAGACGGGUUGCUGGGCCGACACUGACGCUGACAGCGCGAAAGCCAGGGGAGCAAACGGG
RNAcentral lists this ribosomal RNA (254 nucleotides) under uncultured bacterium. RNAcentral's name for it is "partial 16S ribosomal RNA". It matches the Rfam family "Bacterial small subunit ribosomal RNA", at positions 524 to 776 of the family's 1533-position model. The record is from RNAcentral.